This is a non-coding RNA of Hydra vulgaris (swiftwater hydra), 319 nucleotides long. NCBI's taxonomy places the organism in Eukaryota, Metazoa, Cnidaria, Hydrozoa, Anthoathecata, Hydridae. The record is from RefSeq and is a predicted model, not a curated record.
AAAUGUUAUUCCCAACGAGUUUGCAGAAAUAAAAGUUCUUUUAAAAGAAGUUAUAGAAAUUAAGUUUCAGGCUACUGGGGUGAAGUUGCUAGAAUCAGUGGACAAAGUGGUUACACUGGAUAAUAAACUAAAAGAUAAAACCGAGUAUACUAAUUUGCUUGAUAGUUUGAAAAAGAUUGGUGGUGGAAAGCCUAGAGAACAUGUUUUUUUGAUCAUAAAAAGAUAUCGGCGACGUGGAAGAAAAUGUUGACGGCAAUGCAGAAAUAUAGUUUCUUAUGUAUAUUUUUGUGAAAUAAAAAUUAAAUAAUGUUAGUUAAAA